RNAcentral lists this ribosomal RNA (253 nucleotides) under uncultured bacterium. RNAcentral describes it as "partial 16S ribosomal RNA". It matches the Rfam family "Bacterial small subunit ribosomal RNA", at positions 524 to 776 of the family's 1533-position model. The record is from RNAcentral.
UACGGAGGGUGCAAGCGUUAUCCGGAUUCACUGGGUUUAAAGGGUCCGUAGGCGGUCUAGUAAGUCAGUGGUGAAAGCCCAUCGCUCAACGGUGGAACGGCCAUUGAUACUGCUAGACUUGAAUUAUUAGGAAGUAACUAGAAUAUGUAGUGUAGCGGUGAAAUGCUUAGAGAUUACAUGGAAUACCAAUUGCGAAGGCAGGUUACUACUAAUGGAUUGACGCUGAUGGACGAAAGCGUGGGUAGCGAACAGG